This 253-nucleotide ribosomal RNA is filed under the name uncultured bacterium. Its description in RNAcentral is "partial 16S ribosomal RNA". It matches the Rfam family "Bacterial small subunit ribosomal RNA", at positions 524 to 776 of the family's 1533-position model. The record is from RNAcentral.
CACGUAGGGCGCGAGCGUUGUCCGGAAUUAUUGGGCGUAAAGAGCUCGUAGGCGGCCUGUUGCGUCCGCUGUGAAAGCCCGGGGCUUAACCCCGGGUCUGCAGUGGAUACGGGCAGGCUAGAGGUAGGUAGGGGAGAAUGGAAUUCCCGGUGUAGCGGUGAAAUGCGCAGAUAUCGGGAGGAACACCGGUGGCGAAGGCGGUUCUCUGGGCCUUACCUGACGCUGAGGCGCGAAAGCUAGGGGAGCGAACAGG